CCUACGGGCUGCAGCAGUGGGGAAUAUUGGACAAUGGGCGAAAGCCUGAUCCAGCAAUGCCGCGUGUGUGAAGAAGGUCUUCGGAUUGUAAAGCACUUUCGACGGGGACGUUGAUGACGGUACCCGUAGAAGAAGCCCCGGCUAACUUCGUGCCAGCAGCCGAGGUAAUACGAAGGGGGCUAGCGUUGCUCGGAAUGACUGGGCGUAAAGGGCGCGUAGGCGGUUUAUGCAGUCAGAUGUGAAAUCCCCGGGCUUAACCUGGGAACUGCAUUUGAGACGCAUAGACUAGAGGUCGAGAGAGGGUUGUGGAAUUCCCAGUGUAGAGGUGAAAUUCGUAGAUAUUGGGAAGAACACCUGUGUCGAAGGCGGCAACCUGGCUCGAUACUGACGCUGAGGCGCGAAAGUGUGGGGAGCAAACAGGAUUAGAUACCCGCGUAG
Molecule: ribosomal RNA, 438 nt
Filed under: uncultured bacterium
Lineage: Bacteria
Description: bacterial SSU rRNA
Rfam family: Bacterial small subunit ribosomal RNA
Source: RNAcentral